CACGGAGGGGGCGAGCGUUAUUCGGAAUUAUUGGGCGUAAAGGGCAGGUAGGCGGCUCUGUGUGUCUCCUGUGAAAGCCCUCGGCUCAACCGAGGAAUUGCAGGGGAAACUGCGGGGCUUGAGUCCGGGAGAGGGUAGUGGAAUUCCCAGUGUAGCGGUGAAAUGCGUAGAUAUUGGGAGGAACACCAGUGGCGAAGGCGGCUACCUGGACCAGUACUGACGCUGAUCUGCGAAAGCUAGGGGAGCAAACGGG
This 253-nucleotide unclassified non-coding RNA is filed under the name uncultured Acidobacteriota bacterium. Its description in RNAcentral is "uncultured Acidobacteria bacterium contains 16S-23S intergenic spacer region". It matches the Rfam family "Bacterial small subunit ribosomal RNA", at positions 524 to 776 of the family's 1533-position model. The record is from RNAcentral. Lineage: Bacteria; Pseudomonadati; Acidobacteriota.